This 433-nucleotide ribosomal RNA is filed under the name uncultured bacterium. RNAcentral describes it as "partial 16S ribosomal RNA". It matches the Rfam family "Bacterial small subunit ribosomal RNA", at positions 29 to 507 of the family's 1533-position model. The record is from RNAcentral.
AACGAACGCUGGCGGCAUGCCUAACACAUGCAAGUCGAACGAGACCUUCGGGUCUAGUGGCGCACGGGUGCGUAACGCGUGGGGACCUGCCCUUAGGUUCGGAAUAACUCCCCGAAAGGGGUGCUAAUACCGGAUAAUGUCUUCGGACCAAAGAUUUAUCGCCUUUGGAUGGGCCCGCGUUGGAUUAGCUAGUUGGUAGGGUAAAAGCCUACCAAGGCGACGAUCCAUAGCUGGUCUGAGAGGAUGGUCAGCCACACUGGGACUGAGACACGGCCCAGACUCCUACGGGAGGCAGCAGUGGGGAAUAUUGGACAAUGGGCGAAAGCCUGAUCCAGCAAUGCCGCGUGAGUGAUGAAGGCUUUAGGGUUGUAAAGCUCUUUUACCCGGGAUGAUAAUGACAGUACCGGGAGAAUAAGCUCCGGCUAACUCCGUG